Molecule: long non-coding RNA, 1901 nt
Filed under: Homo sapiens (human)
Lineage: Eukaryota; Metazoa; Chordata; Mammalia; Primates; Hominidae
Description: HSALNT0328192
Source: RNAcentral
ACAUUUUAUUGAGGGUUUACCAAUUGCCAGUCACUGUUGUAGGUGCUGUGGGGCAAGUGAGAUUAAGACCUUGCCCUCUAAGUAAUAUUAAAUAGAUGAUAAUGUGAUAGCAAGUGACAGCUGGAGUGAGAGACUGUGCUUGAGUUAGGGUAAUCAAGAAAGGUCUCAUAGAAGAAGUGGUUAGGUAAGACUGGGUGUAGUCAUGUGAAGAUGUAGAGAAGAACUUUCCAAGCAGAAGAGACACAAAAUGCAAAAGCUAUGAGAUGGGCAAGAGCAUAUGUGUUAAUAAGACAGAAGGAAAGCCUGUGUGGAUGAGCAAUGGGAAAAGAGAAGAGAAAAGAAAAGAAAGAUGAAGUCUGAAGUCUAAGGAACAGGAACAAGUCUGAAUCUUGUACAGCCUUGUAGCCCAUGCAGGAGUCUAAAAACUCAAACGUAUCUAAAAGCCAUGACACAGAAGGCCUGGAGACUGCAUGGAAUGAUGAGGACUGCAGUGAACUCUGAAGUGCCUACCCAUGUGAAACGAACAAGUGCUAUUCGGAAGAAGCAGGUUGUGUUAAUGUGGAAGUAGCUGGAUGCCAGUUUUCUGAGAUUUGCCCAAACAUGGAUGACUUGCAUGUUACGAAAGGAUUUUGCCGUGUCAAAUGUUUUCAUUUCGUUUAUUAGUUAAGACAUAUAAUUCAAAACUCUUUGGCCACCUCUAGGAAUCUCCCUAUUACCUGAGACACAAUAUUAUGGAAAUUGGGUUAAUUAAUAACCCUACAGUAACCUCUAAACAUUCAAAUGGAAGGAAGAAUCUCAUCUCUCUCACUUUAAAGCAAAAGCUAUGAAUGAUUAAGCUUAGUGAGGAGGGCAUAUCAAAAGCCAAGAUAGGCCGAAAGCUAGGUCCCUUGUGCCAAACAGCCAAUUCGUGAAUGCAAAGGAAAAGUUAUUGAAGAAAACUAAAAGUGCUCCUCCAGCAAACACACAAUGAUAAGAAAGUGAGAAACUCCUAUUGUUGAUGUGGAGAAAGGUUGAAUGGUCUAGAUAGAAGGUCAAACAAGCCAGAUUUCCUUAAUCCAAAGCCUAAUCCAGAAUAAGACUCUAACUCUCUUCAAUUCUAUGAAUGCUGAAAGAAAGAGAUGAGGAAGCUGAUGAAGAAAAAUUUGAAGCCAGCAGAGGUUGGUUCAUGAGGCUUAAAGAAAGAAGCCAUCUCCAAAACACGAAAGUGCAAAGUGAAGAAGCAAGUGCUGAUACAGAAAUUGCAGCAACCUAUCCAGAAGAUCCAGCUAAGACCUUUGAUGAGUGUAGCUACAUUAAACAAUAUAUUUUCUAUGUAGACAAAACAGCCUUCAAUUAGAAGAUAAUGCCAUCAAGAACUUUCACAGAAAAGAGAGGUCAAUGACUGGCCUCAAAGCUUCAAAGGACAGGCUGACUCUCUAAUAGGUGAAAGGGAGUUGCCUCGUCUCAUGAGACUUUGGACUGUGGACUUUUGAGUUAAUGCUGAAAUGAGUUAAGACUUGGGGGACUGUUGAGAAGGGAUGAUUGUAUUUUGCAAUAUGAGAAGGACAUGAGAUGUGGGAGGGGCCAGGGCUGAAAUGAUAUGGUUUGGAUUUGCGUCCCUGCCCAAAUCUCAUGUAGAAUUGUAAUCCCCAGUGUUGGAGAAGGGGCCUGGUGGGAGGUGAUUGGAUCAUGGGGGAGGAUUGCCCCCUUGCUGUUCUUGUGAUAUUGAGUGAGUUCUCAGGAGAUCUGGCUGAUUAAAAGUGUGUAGCACCUCCCCCUGUGCUGUCUUCCUCCCACUCCAGCCAUGUAAGACGUGCUUGCUUUUCCCUCACCCUCAGCCAUGAUUCUAAGUUUCCUGAGGCCUCCCCAGCCAUGCUUCAUGUACAGCCUGUGGAACCAUGCACCAAUUAAACCUCUUGUCU